This 468-nucleotide ribosomal RNA is filed under the name uncultured bacterium. Its description in RNAcentral is "partial 16S ribosomal RNA". It matches the Rfam family "Bacterial small subunit ribosomal RNA", at positions 28 to 523 of the family's 1533-position model. The record is from RNAcentral.
GAUGAACGCUGGCGGCGUGCCUAACACAUGCAAGUCGAGCGAUUUACUUCGGUAAAGAGCGGCGGACGGGUGAGUAACGCGUGGGUAAUCUGCCCUGUACACACGGAUAACAUACCGAAAGGUAUGCUAAUACGAGAUAAUAUACUUUUAUCGCAUGGUAGAAGUAUCAAAGCUCCGGCGGUACAGGAUGGACCCGCGUCUGAUUAGCUAGUUGGUAAGGUAACGGCUUACCAAGGCGACGAUCAGUAGCCGACCUGAGAGGGUGAUCGGCCACAUUGGAACUGAGACACGGUCCAAACUCCUACGGGAGGCAGCAGUGGGGAAUAUUGCACAAUGGGCGAAAGCCUGAUGCAGCAACGCCGCGUGAGCGAUGAAGGCCUUCGGGUCGUAAAGCUCUGUCCUCAAGGAAGAUAAUGACGGUACUUGAGGAGGAAGCCCCGGCUAACUACGUGCCAGCCGCCGCCGUAA